This 378-nucleotide ribosomal RNA is filed under the name uncultured bacterium. RNAcentral's name for it is "bacterial SSU rRNA". It matches the Rfam family "Bacterial small subunit ribosomal RNA", at positions 425 to 793 of the family's 1533-position model. The record is from RNAcentral.
GUAAAGUACUUUCAGCAGUGAGGAAGGUGGAUAUGUUAAUAGCAUACUCAUUUGACGUUAGCUGCAGAAGAAGCACCGGCUAACUCCGUGCCAGCAGCCGCGGUAAUACGGAGGGUGCGAGCGUUAAUCGGAAUUACUGGGCGUAAAGCGCAUGCAGGUGGUUUGUUAAGUCAGAUGUGAAAGCCCGGGGCUCAACCUCGGAAUUGCAUUUAGAAACUGGCAAACUAGAGUACUGUAGAGGGGGUAGAAUUUCAGGUGUAGCGGUGAAAAUGCGUAGAGAUCUGAAGGAAUACCGGUGGCGAAGGCGGCCCCCUGGACAGAUACUGACACUCAGAUGCGAAAGCGUGGGGACGCAAACAGGAUUAGAUACCCUGGUAG